This 460-nucleotide ribosomal RNA is filed under the name uncultured bacterium. Its description in RNAcentral is "partial 16S ribosomal RNA". It matches the Rfam family "Bacterial small subunit ribosomal RNA", at positions 338 to 795 of the family's 1533-position model. The record is from RNAcentral.
CCUACGGGGGGCAGCAGUGAGGAAUAUUGGUCAAUGGACGAGAGUCUGAACCAGCCAAGUAGCGUGAAGGAUGACUGCCCUAUGGGUUGUAAACUUCUUUUAUAUGGGAAUAAAAUGUUCCACGUGUGGGAUUUUGUAUGUACCAUAUGAAUAAGGAUCGGCUAACUCCGUGCCAGCAGCCGCGGUAAUACGGAGGAUCCGAGCGUUAUCCGGAUUUAUUGGGUUUAAAGGGAGCGUAGGUGGAUUGUUAAGUCAGUUGUGAAAGUGUGCGGCUCAACCGUAAAAUUGCAGUUGAUACUGGCAGUCUUGAGUACAGUAGAGGUGGGCGGAAUUCGUGGUGUAGCGGUGAAAUGCUUAGAUAUCACGAAGAACUCCGAUUGCGAAGGCAGUUCACUGGACUGCAACUGACACUGAGGCUCGAAAGUGUGGGUAUCAAACAGGAUUAGAUACCCUUGUAGUC